Molecule: microRNA, 22 nt
Filed under: Cordylochernes scorpioides
Lineage: Eukaryota; Metazoa; Arthropoda; Arachnida; Pseudoscorpiones; Chernetidae
Source: RNAcentral
AUGGGCUGGUUGUUUUGAGCGG